Molecule: ribosomal RNA, 259 nt
Filed under: uncultured bacterium
Lineage: Bacteria
Description: partial 16S ribosomal RNA
Rfam family: Bacterial small subunit ribosomal RNA
Source: RNAcentral
GUCCACGCCCUAACGAUGUCUACUAGUUGUUGGGUCUUAAUUGACUUAGUAACGCAGCUAACGCGUGAAGUAGACCGCCUGGGGAGUACGGUCGCAAGAUUAAACUCAAAGGAAUUGACGGGACCCGCACAAGCGGUGGAUGAUGUGGAUUAAUUCGAUGCAACGCGAAACCUUACCUACCCUUGACAUGGAUGGAAUCCCGGAGAGAUCUGGGAGUGCUCGAAAGAGAACCAUCACACAGGUGCUGCAUGGCUGUCGU